RNAcentral lists this ribosomal RNA (845 nucleotides) under Paranamixis misakiensis. RNAcentral describes it as "partial 18S ribosomal RNA". It matches the Rfam family "Eukaryotic small subunit ribosomal RNA", at positions 1328 to 1787 of the family's 1831-position model. Lineage: Eukaryota; Metazoa; Arthropoda; Malacostraca; Amphipoda; Leucothoidae. The record is from RNAcentral.
AUACGAACGAGACUCUUUCCUGCUAACCACGGUGAUUGCGGCGCUUGCCCUAACAAGCUUGCGUCGUUAACGAUCCAAAGUAGACGGUGUGAUUCUAUACAAGUCCAACGAACGCUCUCGCGUGUGAGCCGCUCGCCCAUUUUACUGAGUGUUGCGUGCCCGUACGUGUUUGUGAUCUGGAGAGUCCGCCGAUCCUGCGUAAUUACUUGAGACGGCGCUUCUCGCGCACUCGUUCGGUGCGCACUUUCUCUCUUGUCGGGGCGCGUUUUCGGGGUUCACGCUUCGUUGCGCGUUUCGGCGGAAGAACGUCCCCGGGCGACGUGUUGCGGGUCGUUUGCCUAUCUUGUAUAUGCGUAGGAAGUUUUCUUCUUAGAGGUAUUGACGACUCACGUUCAAAGUCGUAAGAGACAAAGAGCAAUAACAGGUCUGUGAUGCCCUUAGAUGUCCUGGGCCGCACGCGAGCUACAAUGCCGGGUACAACGGGUAACGUUUCCUUCUCCGAAAGGAGUGGGUAACCCUUUGAACACCCUUAUUAUAUCGACGAUCGACGUGCGUUUAUAUUAGCCUCGUGCUAUAUAUAUCGCGCGUUCUCCAUCGUCUGGCUCGCUUGGGCCUGGGGCUUGCAAUUCUUUCCCACUAACGAGGAAUGCCUUGUAGUGGCGGGUCACUGAGCUCGUGGCGACUCAGUCCCUGCCCUUUGUACACACCGCCCGUCGCUACUACCGAUUGAGUGUACCAGUGAGAUUCUUGGACUGGCGAACCUCAUAGCUUGUCUAUACUCUAGUCAAGUGAAAGAGGCGUACGAUGGGAAGAGACUCGAACUGGUGCACUUAGAGGAAGUAAAA